CAAUAGCGUAUAUUAAAGUUGUUGCAGUUAAAAAGCUCGUAGUUGGAUUUCUGGUGGGAGCGAUCGGUCUGGCGCUUAGCGCGAGUACUUGCAUCGUCUCCGGCCAUCCUUGGGGAGAGUCUGUCUGGCAUUAGGUUGUCGGGCAGAGGAUCCUCAUCGUUUACUGUGAAAAAAUUAGAGUGUUCAAAGCAGGCUUAUGCCGUUGAAUAUAUUAGGAUGGAAUAAUAAGAUAGGACUUUGGUACUAUUUUGUUGGUUUGCGCACCAAAGUAAUGAUUAAUAGGGACAGUUGGGGGUAUUCGUAUUCCGUUGUCAGAGGUGAAAUUCUUGGAUUUACGGAAGACGAACUACUGCGAAAGCAUUUACCAAGGAUGUUUUCAUUAA
RNAcentral lists this ribosomal RNA (383 nucleotides) under uncultured eukaryote. RNAcentral's name for it is "partial 18S ribosomal RNA". It matches the Rfam family "Eukaryotic small subunit ribosomal RNA", at positions 592 to 976 of the family's 1831-position model. The record is from RNAcentral.